Molecule: ribosomal RNA, 505 nt
Filed under: uncultured bacterium
Lineage: Bacteria
Description: partial 16S ribosomal RNA
Rfam family: Bacterial small subunit ribosomal RNA
Source: RNAcentral
GACGAACGCUGGCGGCGUGCCUAAUACAUGCAAGUAGAACGCACAGUUUAUACCUUAGCUUGCUACACCAUAGACUGUGAGUUGCGAACGGGUUAGUAACGCGUAGGUAACCUGCCUGGUAGCGGGGGAUAACUAUUGGAAACGAUAGCUAAUACCGCAUAAUAUUAAUUAUUGCAUGAUAAUUAAUUGAAAGUUGCAAUUGCACCACUACCAGAUGGACCUGCGUUGUAUUAGCUAGUAGGGGAGGUAACGGCUCACCUAGGCGACGAUACAUAGCCGACCUGAGAGGGUGAUCGGCCACACUGGGACUGAGACACGGCCAAGACUCCUACGGGAGGCAGCAGGAGGGAAUCUUCGGGAAUGGACGAAAGUCUGAACGAGCAACGCCGGGUGAGUGAAGAAGGGUGUCGGAUCGUAAAGCUCUGUUGUAAGAGAAGAACGGGUGUGAGAGUGGAAAGUGCACACUGUGACGGUAGCUGACCAGAAAGGGACGGCUAACUACGUG